ACAGAGCAACCAUCUGGACUCUGAAGAAAGUUCAUAAAACCAGUAAGUAAUUGAUUUUAAUAAAGCCCAAAACCUGUUAAGAAAGUGAUUUGUAACCUGAGUCAUGAAAAGUAUUCUAGAUGUGUGGCCAGUGAGUUCUGCCAUUUUCACCAUUGAUGGAUAUUUCCAAAGAGUGAGCUGAUUCUGGUUAAAUCCAUGAGCGCUAAGCAGCUCCCUCUCAAUCUUGCUCCACAAUAGAGAACAGACUUGAGAGCCAGUGUCUACUGAGUUCAAGCAGGCACCGGUGUGUGUAUUCCAAAACUUUAUGCACCUAUCACCACCACCUCCUCCAGUGGCCAGCAGAUUUCCUUGGAAUGGACACCAGGCGAGAGCUUUCACUGCAGAAGUAUGGUCCUCAAGCCUAUGAAGCCAUUGUGAAGCUGCAUUUGAUGAUGUCACAGACCUAUCCCAUAUGUGAACGAGGUUAUCAUUGCCCCCACUUGCCAAUUGUUGGCCAGAAGCUGACCAUUUAAGCCCACAAACCUCUUGUUGGUGUCCUCUAUAAGUCUCCACAAUGUGUAAUCUAAUUCUCACAUCAUUAUUAAUUAUUUGGCCAUCCAUUCCUCCAGUCGUAAGGAUAUGGUUGUUCCAUGCCAGUGACCCAACUCGUGAUCUGUGGCCACCUCUCAAUGUUCUAAGCUGCCGAUUAGCAGCAGAAUCCCAUAACUGGACCUCAGAAUUGUUCAAGCCAAUGGCAAUGUGGUGACCAUCAGGAGCCCAAUUCACACUGGUAACAGGACCAAUUUCAUUAUCAAUUGUCACAAGUUCUGAGGUAGAACUAUCAGAAGCAUCCCACAGAUAAACUGUGUUUCCAAGAGCUACAGCUAGAACAUUGCUGCUGCCCCAAUCCAGCAAGUUCAGGUAGAAAUCAUCAACAAGGUCUGGAGCAUCCAAUGUCCUCUCAGAAGUCUGUGGAAUGUGUCUGCGGGGCUUAGUGGGUUUAGCCUGGAGGUGAGAUGGGGAAGUAUUCUCCUGCGGGAUCAAUUCAAUAGGAGCAGGAGGCUUGUCCUUAAAAGCUAGUAUUCGUGUCCGGUUCAGGUGCAAAGCUUCUGCUAGUCGCUUCCUGUAGGCCUCUCUUGAUGGCGAGAUCACUGCUGGGUUCUCUUUUGCUUGCUUACCCUCAGUUAGCAUGUAAUGGGCAUAGUCCCAAUCCAUUGCUGACCGAUUCGGAAUAAAUCUAUCCAAGUUGUCUUUAGAACUCCUUCGGAGG
This 1249-nucleotide unclassified non-coding RNA is filed under the name Hevea brasiliensis (rubber tree). The record is from RNAcentral. Lineage: Eukaryota; Viridiplantae; Streptophyta; Magnoliopsida; Malpighiales; Euphorbiaceae.